CCUACGGGAGGCAGCAGUAGGGAAUAUUGCGCAAUGGACGGAAGUCUGACGCAGCGACGCCGCGUGAGCGAUGAAGGCCUUCGGGUCGUAAAGCUCUGUCCUUGGGGAAGAAGGUCUUCGGACUUGACGGUACCCAAGAAGAAAGCCCCGGCUAACUACGUGCCAGCAGCCGCGGUAAUACGUAGGGGGCGAGCGUUGUCCGGAAUUACUGGGCGUAAAGGGUGCGUAGGCGGCCCUUUAAGUCAGAUGUGAAAGCCCGCAGCUUAACUGCGGAAUUGCAUUUGAAACUGGAGGGCUUGAGUGUCGGAGAGGGUAGUGGAAUUCCCAGUGUAGCGGUGAAAUGCGUAGAUAUUGGGAGGAACACCAGUGGCGAAGGCGACUGCCUGGACGAUAACUGACGCUGAGGCACGAAAGCUAGGGGAGCAAACAGGAUUAGAUACCCUGGUAGUCCUAGCCGUAAACGAUGGGUACUAGGUGUAGGUGGUUUCGAUACCAUCUGUGCCGUAGUUAACGCAUUAAGUACCCCGCCUGGGGAGUACGUGCGCAAGCAUGAAACUCAAAGGAAUUGACGGGGGCCCGCACAAGCGGUGGAGCAUGUGGUUUAAUUCGAAGCAACGCGAAGAACCUUACCAGGUCUUGACAUCCCUGGACAGCUGUGGAAACACAGUUUCCCUUCGGGGCCAGGAGACAGGUGGUGCAUGGUUGUCGUCAGCUCGUGUCGUGAGAUGUUGGGUUAAGUCCCGCAACGAGCGCAACCCUUGCCUUUAGUUGCCAUCAUUAAGUUGGGGACUCUAAAGGGACUGCCGGUGACAAAUC
Molecule: ribosomal RNA, 816 nt
Filed under: uncultured bacterium
Lineage: Bacteria
Description: bacterial SSU rRNA
Rfam family: Bacterial small subunit ribosomal RNA
Source: RNAcentral